GUAACUGUGAUGAACCUUCAGACCUGUAAUGAUAUGCGGACAUGAGCGCAGAUCUAAGAACAUCUAAGGGACUGAGUUUAA
This is a small nucleolar RNA of Prunus persica (peach), 81 nucleotides long. It matches the Rfam family "Small nucleolar RNA SNORD25". From Rfam's summary of the family: U25 is a member of the C/D class of snoRNA which contain the C (UGAUGA) and D (CUGA) box motifs. U25 is found in gene clusters in plants, and within the U22 snoRNA host gene (UHG) in mammals. U25 is thought to as a 2'-O-ribose methylation guide for ribosomal RNA. The record is from Rfam. Lineage: Eukaryota; Viridiplantae; Streptophyta; Magnoliopsida; Rosales; Rosaceae.